This 229-nucleotide long non-coding RNA is filed under the name Capsicum annuum. RNAcentral's name for it is "long non-coding RNA (CANN_LNC015946)". The record is from RNAcentral. Lineage: Eukaryota; Viridiplantae; Streptophyta; Magnoliopsida; Solanales; Solanaceae.
UACUCUCAUACCAAAGGGUGCUAUGUCUACUGCUUCUUCUGCUUCUGGCACUAGUGCUGGCCGGAACUGCUUGUUGCACUUGCUACUCUCCAGGAUGCUGAUGCGUAUCUUGAUGUUUUCACGGGUAUGUUAAGAGAUUUCUCAUGUGGUGUGUAUUUAUUUCUUGAUCUAGGGUCUACUCUUUCUUAUGUGACCCCAUAUGUGAUCGUGCAUCUUGAAUGUGGUCCCG